Pelobates cultripes (western spadefoot toad) is the source of this 164-nucleotide non-coding RNA. NCBI's taxonomy places the organism in Eukaryota, Metazoa, Chordata, Amphibia, Anura, Pelobatidae. The record is from the annotation of a GenBank genome assembly.
GCGAACUCCGGUCAGCUGACACAUCCCUGCCAAUCUCCGGCAGACCCUCCCUCCCAGACAGCAUCCAUGUUGAAGGCAGCUUCAACAUGGAUGUUGUCCAGGAAGUGGGAGGGACUGGGAGGGAGGGUCUGCCGGAGAUUGGCAGGGAUGUGUCAGCUGACCGG